RNAcentral lists this transfer RNA (67 nucleotides) under Rhinotermes marginalis. RNAcentral's name for it is "tRNA-Asp". Lineage: Eukaryota; Metazoa; Arthropoda; Insecta; Blattodea; Rhinotermitidae. The record is from RNAcentral.
AAAGAAUUAGUUAAUUAAUAACAUCAGUAUGUCAAGCUGAAAUAACCGAAGUCAAAGGUAUUCUUUU